CGGCGCUGGCUGGGGGGAGCGGGGAGCCGGGAUCUCUCAGCUCGGGGCUGAGAAAUGGGGCAGACGGCGGAGCUCUGGGCCUCCCGGGUUCAAGCUGCGGGCUCGGGGGUGGGCGGGAGCCCUGGGGGUCUCCAGGCUCUCCGGACCGCGGCGAGGGCUCCGGGAAGCUCAGAGAGCGGCGCCCGAAGGAUCCCGGGAGGCGGGCGGCCCCCCCCGCCCCCCUCCGGCCUUGGCUCCGCAGCCCGGGCCCUGGGCGGGGCGGCCGCCGGGGGGCUCCUCGGGCGCGGGUCCCUCCCCCUGGCUCAGGCUCAGGAAUCCGUGCGGUCCGGGCGGCUGGGGCGGGGCGGGGGCGGCCGCUUCCUGGGGCCGCUUGUCCAGGGAGCGGAGCCUCGCCAAGCCCACAGGCUCGGAGCAGCCCGGACCCCGGGGGCCGCGGGGGUGGGCUCGGGGUCGCCCCAGCCUCAAGUGAGUGCGGGGAGCGCGGGGGCGGGGGCCGGGACGGGCGGAAACUGCCGACUCAGCGCAAUGGCCGAGGGGCGGGGGGAGGGGAGGGUCGGAAAGUUUGGGGGGGAGAAGAUCAGCCCGGACGCCCCCGCCCCCGCCCUGGCGAGGAGCCCCCGGCCCUGGCGGACCCCAGACUGCGGGGGGAGGGGGGGGGGCCCUCGAGGCCCGGGCUGGGGGCCGCGGUGGGGGAGGGGAGGGCCAGCGGAGCUGACCGCAGGGGUCCUGUGCCUUCAGCUGCCAGGCCGAAGGCGAGGUCCGAGGGCAGAGAUGCCACUGGGGACCAAGGUCAGCCACGCUUCCUUCGGGAUGCUUCCUCUUGUCUCCUUCCUCCGGGGGCAGCUGCUGUUGCUGCUCCUUCUGGGCACCGCGUCUCCCCAGGACCCCGAGGAGCCGGACAGCUACAUGGUGGGACCCCGGAAACUGCCACGGGCCUGGGGGGUGGGGAGAAGCAGCAGGAAAUGGGGGGCGGGGCCGGGGGAAAGAACCCCGGGGUCCUGA
Molecule: long non-coding RNA, 1002 nt
Filed under: Sarcophilus harrisii (Tasmanian devil)
Lineage: Eukaryota; Metazoa; Chordata; Mammalia; Dasyuromorphia; Dasyuridae
Description: lncRNA (ENSSHAG00000020538.1)
Source: RNAcentral